RNAcentral lists this long non-coding RNA (455 nucleotides) under Sus scrofa (pig). RNAcentral's name for it is "lncRNA (ENSSSCG00065040774.1)". The record is from RNAcentral. Lineage: Eukaryota; Metazoa; Chordata; Mammalia; Artiodactyla; Suidae.
AUGCCUCAUCCCCACAUCCAGUGGCUUAGUUCUGGCCUGUCUUGGUUUCCCUUCCCCUGCCAAUCGAAGUCUUUAAUGACCUGUGCUGUUUUGUCAUGGGUCCUUCUGGGAACCUCUGCUGGAUACGUGUCUGCUAAAAUGUAUAAGAGCAAGCAUUACAACUCUUUAUUUUGCUGGUUAGGUAUCCAGUUCGCACAAACCAGAUUCCACGUCAGAUUCCUCAACAGAUUUUCUCUAGAAAAUGACUUUUGGCAUCAUAAUCAGUGGCAUUUUCCCUUUUGGCUGUAUUUUUAUUCAACUCUUUUUCCUUCUGAACAGUGUUUGGAACAGUCGGAUUUUUUUCCUGCUUCUGUUUUAUUAUCAAAAUCUACAGUGUGGUGAAAGUGGAUUAAAGAAUGUCCCCAGAGGCUUCCAGGCACAUCACCCUUGCUUUUGAAUAUACAUCUGUAUCUAUA